AUGUUCCUGCUGAUUUCUGAUGUUUCUCCCGAAAAAAAAAAAAAAAAAAACGAACUAUAUUUACCUGUACCAAAGAACCAUUCUAAUUCUGUUUUGUUUUCUUGUAUUUUAGGUGGAAUUAUUGGACCUAUAAUGCAAUUCACAGCACCUGUCCCUGGAGCUACAGGACCAAUCAAGUUAACUCAAAAAACCAUUGACUCAAGGAUCCAGCGCUUCCAUCGUGUUAUUAUCCCACCCACAACUCCUCUAGGUUGGACUCACCCAGGUUCUGCCAUAAAAAUUGUGAAGCUGAAAUACAAAGUGAAAAAAUUGGACUCACCCAGGUUCUGCCAUAAAAAUUGUGAAGCUGAAAUACAAAGUGAAAAAAUAACUUUCAGGAAUGAUCCUGCCUGA
Molecule: long non-coding RNA, 393 nt
Filed under: Oryctolagus cuniculus (rabbit)
Lineage: Eukaryota; Metazoa; Chordata; Mammalia; Lagomorpha; Leporidae
Description: lncRNA (ENSOCUG00000031399.1)
Source: RNAcentral